AGGAGCAUAUAUGGUACAGAUUAU
RNAcentral lists this non-coding RNA (24 nucleotides) under Arabidopsis thaliana (thale cress). Lineage: Eukaryota; Viridiplantae; Streptophyta; Magnoliopsida; Brassicales; Brassicaceae. The record is from RNAcentral.